AACGAACGCUGGCGGCAUGCCUAACACAUGCAAGUCGAACGAGACCUUCGGGUCUAGUGGCGCACGGGUGCGUAACGCGUGGGAACCUGCCCUUAGGUUCGGAAUAACUCAGAGAAAUUUGAGCUAAUACCGGAUAAUGUCUUCGGACCAAAGAUUUAUCGCCUUUGGAUGGGCCCGCGUAGGAUUAGCUUGUUGGUGGGGUAAUGGCCUACCAAGGCGACGAUCCUUAGCUGGUCUGAGAGGAUGAUCAGCCACACUGGGACUGAGACACGGCCCAGACUCCUACGGGAGGCAGCAGUGGGGAAUAUUGGACAAUGGGCGAAAGCCUGAUCUAGCAAUGCCGCGUGAGUGAUGAAGGCCUUAGGGUUGUAAAGCUCUUUUACCAGGGAUGAUAAUGACAGUACCUGGAGAAUAAGCGCCGGCUAACUCCGUG
This 433-nucleotide ribosomal RNA is filed under the name uncultured bacterium. RNAcentral's name for it is "partial 16S ribosomal RNA". It matches the Rfam family "Bacterial small subunit ribosomal RNA", at positions 29 to 507 of the family's 1533-position model. The record is from RNAcentral.